UACGGAGGCUCCAAGCGUUAUCCGGAUUCAUUGGGCUUAAAGGGUGCGUAGGCGGAAUGAUAAGUCAGUGGUGAAAUCUCUCGGCUUAACCGAGAAACUGCCAUUGAUACUGUCAAUCUUGAGUACAUUUGAUGUGGGCGGAAUGUGUCAUGUAGCGGUGAAAUGCUUAGAUAUGAGGCAGAACACCGAUUGCGAAGGCAGCUCACAGGACUGUAACUGACGCUGAGGCACGAAAGCGUGGGUAGCAAACAGG
RNAcentral lists this ribosomal RNA (253 nucleotides) under uncultured bacterium. RNAcentral describes it as "partial 16S ribosomal RNA". It matches the Rfam family "Bacterial small subunit ribosomal RNA", at positions 524 to 776 of the family's 1533-position model. The record is from RNAcentral.